GGUUAUUUAUAUCCUGUAGAAGUCGGUGGUAUUAAAUCCACUCAAGAAAUAAGAGAAGUCAGCAGCUAAGUCACGCAAAACCUUUGUCAAAAGAUUGUAGGGUGAAUGUGUUUUUUUGCAUCCAAUGCUUUAUGUGUGGGUCUAAUACAGAUUCUGUGCAUGCAUCUGCUGCAGGGACCUUUUCAGAAGAGCCUCUUAAGACACAUGUUUCGGAAUGGGGUCAAAUGCGUGCUGCUGUAUGACCAGCCUAUUUGAUUAUGCCUCCAAAUCCUACGGAAGUAUAACAACCACAGAAGAGAUAAAACCCAACAGCAUCAACAACAGAGAAGAUCAGUUCAGGAAGAUAUGAAACCCUUUGUAAUAAAGAAAGCAACACUGUGAA
This 382-nucleotide long non-coding RNA is filed under the name Saimiri boliviensis boliviensis (Bolivian squirrel monkey). RNAcentral's name for it is "lncRNA (ENSSBOG00000036493.1)". The record is from RNAcentral. Lineage: Eukaryota; Metazoa; Chordata; Mammalia; Primates; Cebidae.